Molecule: long non-coding RNA, 764 nt
Filed under: Danio rerio (zebrafish)
Lineage: Eukaryota; Metazoa; Chordata; Actinopteri; Cypriniformes; Danionidae
Description: si:dkey-48g21.7 (ENSDARG00000100707.2)
Source: RNAcentral
CCAUUUGUGUUGUAUCCGAGUUAACGUGAGCUGUUGUGUGGCUUUAGCGUCUUUCGCAGAGUAAAUACAGUGUUACGUUCUUGUUGUGUUAAGGGCUGUAAUAGUAAAUCACACGAUCAAAAAGGUAAUAAAUGAUAACGACGACAGAUAUUUAAAAUUUCCCGCUCAGAAGAAAGUAUAUUGAUAGACUGUAGCAGUAACAACAGACACAUCGGGUGUCCUGGCCAGCUGCAUUGAGACGCAAAAUAUAUCUUCAUUUCUCCGUUUAUGCUCUCAGCAUUAUCACAAAGCCAAGCUGCAUAUGACCCAGACUGAGCACCAUCUCUACAUCUGGGCCACACAGAAACUACACAGACAGACACUGCACACUCUGCAAGACAAACUUAGAGGAGGGAAAGAAAACCAACACUGCAGUCAGCUGAAGAUGUGGACAACCAACAUGCUGAGAAGGAGACACUUGAGGUUGAAGAUGGUGGUGAGACACACUGAUGAGAAGACACACAACACUAAGGAGGUAGCUGAGACAAACUGAAUGUAAACUGUGUAUGGACACGUGUAGAAAUAAACCACCUGUUGGAGGAGAACUGACAGCUGAUGUGUGAACUUGAAGGAUACAGGAUGUCUGAUGUAUUUUGUAACAAGAAUAAGGCUAAAGUACCAAACAGUAAAAUAAAAAAAACACAAAAUCUUAAUAACAAGCACUGAGCCAUAAACAUGACACUCCCUUGUAAAGGUGAAGAUGUCACAUUACAGCACAGGAUUGU